GCCUGGGUGGCUCAUUCAGUUGAGUAUCUGACUUUGGCUCAGGUUAUGAUCUCACAGUUCGUGGGUUCGAGUCCCAUGUCGGGCU
This 85-nucleotide transfer RNA is filed under the name Felis catus (domestic cat). It matches the Rfam family "tRNA". Rfam says of the family: Transfer RNA (tRNA) molecules are approximately 80 nucleotides in length. Their secondary structure includes four short double-helical elements and three loops (D, anti-codon, and T loops). Further hydrogen bonds mediate the characteristic L-shaped molecular structure. tRNAs have two regions of fundamental functional importance: the anti-codon, which is responsible for specific mRNA codon recognition, and the 3' end, to which the tRNAs corresponding amino acid is attached (by aminoacyl-tRNA synthetases). tRNAs cope with the degeneracy of the genetic code in two manners: having more than one tRNA (with a specific anti-codon) for a particular amino acid; and 'wobble' base-pairing, i.e. permitting non-standard base-pairing at the 3rd anti-codon position. The record is from Rfam by way of RNAcentral. Lineage: Eukaryota; Metazoa; Chordata; Mammalia; Carnivora; Felidae.